Molecule: long non-coding RNA, 1645 nt
Organism: Bos grunniens (domestic yak)
Lineage: Eukaryota; Metazoa; Chordata; Mammalia; Artiodactyla; Bovidae
Source: Ensembl
GUGGGUCAGGCUGUCAAGGUGGAACCCCAAGGCUGCAUGUGGCUGUGGAUACAGAAUUGAGUGGGCAUGAUCUGGAGAUACAGCAGGUUCAAGUAUGCAGAAUAGACCAAAUCGGAAAGAAGGCAUCACUUUAGACUGAAACAAAUCAGGGCUAACCAGAAAAGACCUUUUAGGCCAACGACCACUUGAGAUGUCCCUGAUUCCUCCGUGUUUCACUCACUGGCUCCUGGCUCCUGGAAUCUGUUGGACCUGUAUUUGCAUUCACCAUUUCUCAGGAGGGAAAUGAUUCUAGUGACCUCACUGUGGGGAGACAGGAGUUUCUGGAGUGACAGCAGAUCUCUGGAUAGUGGCCUUCAUAUUGUGAAUGAGAUUGCAGAGGUCCAUGUCCUACCUUAUGACAUCAGAAAGAGCAGUUCUAUUCUUCACAUUCAGGGCAUGGAAGCCAGAAAUUGCGCAUUUAUGAACCUACUCACAGAGAAACAAUUCUUGCUGAAGGAGCUUGGAUUAGUUUGUUGACAUUUACCACAAAAACCUUUGCAUUUACUCAUAUCCAAGAAACAAAACCAAAUCAAAACCAACCCCCUACAGUGCCCUGGAUUCAGGAAGAAGUGGACAUAUCUUCCUAAUCAAGAGUCAAUGAAGGUAGUGCCUUUCAGGUCUACUAUAUCCUUCUACUUCUCUGUAUAUUCAUUUUAUUAAUUUUGGGGAGUUUGAUAUUGAAACUCCAGCUAAAAAUCUUGAUGUAGCUACUUAAAAAAUAAUUGUAAUGUAUAGUGGAGUUUCCCUGAUAGCUCAGCUGGUAAAGAAUCCUCCUGAAAUGCAGGAGACCCCAGUUCUAUUCCUGAAUUGGGAAGAUCCGCUGGAGACCGAAUAGGCUACCCACUCCAGUAUUCUUGGGCUUCCCUGUGGCUCAGCUGGUAAAGAAUCCACCUGCAAUGCAGGAGACCUAGGUUUGAUCUCCGGUUUGGGAAGAUCCCCUGAAGAAGGGAAAGACUGCUGCUGCUGCUAAGUCGCUUCAGUCAUGUCCGACUCUGUGCGACCCCAUACAGCCCACCAGGCUCCCCCGUCCAUGGGACUCUCCAGGCAAGAACACUGGAGUGGGUUGCCAUUUCCUUCUCCAGUGCAGGAAAGUGAAAAGUGAAAGGGAAGUCGCUCAGUCGUGUCCGACUCUUUGCGACCGUAUGGACUGCAGCCCACCAGUCUCCUCCGUCCAUGGGAUUUUUCAGGCAAGAGUGCUGGAGUGGGGUACCCACUCCAUUAUUCUGGCCUAGAGAAUUCCAUGGACUGUAUAGUCAUUGGGGGUCCCAAAGAGUCGGACAUGACUGAGCGACUUUCACUUUCACUUUCACAGUGAAGCUAUAUGUAACCUGGUUCUGUAUUUUCCAAGUCUCACGUAAAUGUAUUGUAAUACUUUCAUAAUGUAAAAAAUAAAAAAGAAACAGAAAAAAAGAAUUGAUGAGGAAUUUUAAUUUCUGAACACAAUUAUGAUGAUGACUGGGACCUCCAUGGAGUCAUUGCAUUUUGCUGUUCUUCCAGGGCACUGGGUUUCCAUAUCUAGGAAGGAAAGCAUGAUACAAGGAAUCUUACAUAGCAACACAAAAUUCUUUCCAAAAUAUGCAGUGCUUUUCUAAGAACCCUUUCGAAC